GGAUGCGAUCAUACCAGCACUAAAGCACCGGAUCCCAUCAGAACUCCGUAGUUAAGCCUGCUUGGGCGAGGGUAGCACUAGGAUGGGUGACCUCCUGGGAAGUCCUCGUGUUGCAUUCC
Molecule: ribosomal RNA, 119 nt
Filed under: Aegilops tauschii subsp. strangulata
Lineage: Eukaryota; Viridiplantae; Streptophyta; Magnoliopsida; Poales; Poaceae
Source: RNAcentral